CCUACGGGAGGCAGCAGUGGGGAAUUUUGGACAAUGGGCGAAAGCCUGAUCCAGCAAUGCCGCGUGAGUGAAGAAGGCCUUCGGGUUGUAAAGCUCUUUUGUCAGGGAAGAAACGGUGAAGGCUAAUAUCCUUUGCUAAUGACGGUACCUGAAGAAUAAGCACCGGCUAACUACGUGCCAGCAGCCGCGGUAAUACGUAGGGUGCAAGCGUUAAUCGGAAUUACUGGGCGUAAAGCGUGCGCAGGCGGUUUUGUAAGUCUGAUGUGAAAUCCCCGGGCUCAACCUGGGAAUUGCAUUGGAGACUGCAAGGCUAGAAUCUGGCAGAGGGGGGUAGAAUUCCACGUGUAGCAGUGAAAUGCGUAGAUAUGUGGAGGAACACCGAUGGCGAAGGCAGCCCCCUGGGUCAAGAUUGACGCUCAUGCACGAAAGCGUGGGGAGCAAACAGGAUUAGAUACCCUGGUAGUCCACGCCCUAAACCGAUGUCUACUAGUUGUCGGGUCUUAAUUGACUUGGUAACGCAGCUAACGCGUGAAGUAGACCGCCUGGGGAAGUACGGUCGCAAGAUUAAAACUUCAAAUUGAUUGACCGGNGNGAGAGNGCGACGACGACACGAGGAGGAGG
This 621-nucleotide ribosomal RNA is filed under the name uncultured bacterium. RNAcentral's name for it is "bacterial SSU rRNA". It matches the Rfam family "Bacterial small subunit ribosomal RNA", at positions 338 to 950 of the family's 1533-position model. The record is from RNAcentral.